GUCCUGGCAGUAAACGGUGCACGUUUGGUGUGGGAGGAUUCGACCCCUUCUGCGCAGGAGCUAACGCGUUAAACGUGCCGCCUGGGGAGUACGGUCGCAAGAUUAAAACUCAAAGAAAUUGACGGGGGCCCGCACAAGCGGUGGAGUAUGUGGCUCAAUUCGAUGCAACGCGAAGAACCUUACCAGGCCUUGACAUGCAUCUCUAAGUUGGUGAAAGCCAGCGAGUCCCGAAAGGGACAAUUUGCACAGGUGCUGCAUGGCUGUCGU
RNAcentral lists this ribosomal RNA (267 nucleotides) under uncultured bacterium. Its description in RNAcentral is "partial 16S ribosomal RNA". It matches the Rfam family "Bacterial small subunit ribosomal RNA", at positions 793 to 1055 of the family's 1533-position model. The record is from RNAcentral.